GUGAAGAACGCAGUGAAAUGCGAUAAGUAAUGUGAAUUGCAGAGUUCAGUGAAUCAUCGAAUCUUUGAACGCACAUUGCGCCCGUCAGUAUUCUGACGGGCAUGCCUGUCCGAGCGUCAUUUCAACCCUCAAGCACUGCUUGGCGUUGGCGGAUUGCGUGCCCUCGCGGCGCUGCAACCGCCCAAAUACAGUGGCGGUCCCGCUGCGGCUCCCUUUGCGUAGUAACUCACCUCGCACUGGACCGGGCGGCGGCCUGCCGUAAAACCCCAACUCACGAAAUGUUGACCUCGGAUCAGGUAGGAAUACCCGCUGAACUUAAGCAUAUCAAUAAGCGGAGGA
This 339-nucleotide unclassified non-coding RNA is filed under the name soil metagenome. Its description in RNAcentral is "partial contains 5.8S ribosomal RNA, internal transcribed spacer 2, and large subunit ribosomal RNA". The stretch from base 2 to 119 matches the Rfam family "5.8S ribosomal RNA", at positions 37 to 154 of the family's 154-position model. The record is from RNAcentral.